AUCACUGGCUGCCCAGAGCUUGACAUGGAUCCUCAUGGACCCUUCUUACUUCCUCCCAAAUUCUCCUUCUGACUCGGUCUGUUAGGGGCCUGGGGGAAGAAAUUUGGGAUAGUGAUGAGCAGAAUGAGGACACUAACCUUGGACCUUUGACCCCAGAUCCUUGGCUUCUCCCUUGAAGAAUGCAUUUAAUUGUACUUGGAAAUGGAUAAUACUUUACAGCAACGUGAGGAAUUGAAGACUGAUAGGCACAAUGAUGAGAUUAACAAAGACAAGGUAACAAGAGAGUGGAAGACAUUUUCCUUUUAAGAAUUUUUUUUAAUUGGGGUGCCUGGGUAGCUCAGUCCGUUGGGCAUCCAACCUCGGCUCAGGCCAUGAUCUCGAGGUUGGUGAGUUCGAGCCCCACGUCAGGCUCCGUGCUGACAGCUUGGGGCCUGGAGCCUGCUUUGGAUUCCGUGUCUCCUUCUCUCUCUGCCCCUCCCUCGUGUCUCUCAGAAAUAAUAAAUGAAUAAACUUUAAAAAAAAGAAUUUUUUAAAUUGCUUUACUUCAGCAUGGUGGAAAUUUAACUAUUCAUUACUUUAUGCAUUUAGUCCAUGGUUAUUGUAUAAAAAUGUUUAAAUACUGAUUUAAAAAAAAGAAAAAACUAACGGUGCCUGGGUGGCUCAGUCGGUUGAGUAUCCAACUGACUCUUGAGUUCCGCUCAGGUCAUAAUCUCAAGGUCGUGAGAUCGAGCCCCACAUUGGGCUUUAAGCUGGGUAUGGAGCCUGCUUAAGAUUCUCUCUCUCUCUCUCUCUCUCUCUCUCCCUCCACUGCUUGGUUUGUGCUCUUUCUCUUGAAAAAAAGAAAAUAGAAAUCACUAAUUUCAGUUCCAGCAACGGGAUGUAUGUACGUAGAUACAUACACAUCCUUGUCCAGUUGAGUUGUUCUUUGUGCAUAUAAUUAUUAAUUAUAAAGAUCAUAUAUUAAUAAGUAUUAAUUAUGUAUUUCUAUCUCCACAUGCCUUCAUUUUUACUUAGAAAACCUAGAAAAAUUCUGGAACUAUGUGUCCAUGUCAGUAAAUAAAUCCAUAUGAUUUUUUAAUGA
This is a long non-coding RNA of Neofelis nebulosa (Clouded leopard), 1081 nucleotides long. RefSeq lists it as uncharacterized. Lineage: Eukaryota; Metazoa; Chordata; Mammalia; Carnivora; Felidae. The transcript has 2 exons. The record is from RefSeq and is a predicted model, not a curated record.